UUCGCAAUGCCCGAAAGGGUGACGAAGCGACGCCGCGUGCGGGAAGAAGGCCUUCGGGUUGUAAACCGCUGUCGGGAGUUAGGAAAUGCAAGGAUGUUAAUAGCAUCUUUGCUUGACUAAGGCUCCGGAGGAAGCCACGGCUAACUCUGUGCCAGCAGCCGCGGUAAUACAGAGGCGGCAAGCGUUGUUCGGAAUUAUUGGGCGUAAAGAGCACGUAGGCGGCCGUGUAAGUCGGUUGUGAAAGCCUUCCGCUCAACGGGAGAACGGCAUCCGAUACUGCAUGGCUCGAGUGCGGGAGGGGAGAGUGGAACUUCUGGUGGAGCGGUGAAAUGCGUAGAUAUCAGAAGGAACGCCGGCGGCGAAAGCGGCUCUCUGGCCCGUAACUGACGCUGAGUGUGCGAAAGCUAGGGGAGCAAACGGGAUUAGAUACCCCGGUAGUCCUAGCCGUAAACGAUGGGCACUAAGUAGAGGGGUUUU
This 477-nucleotide ribosomal RNA is filed under the name uncultured anaerobic ammonium-oxidizing bacterium. Its description in RNAcentral is "bacterial SSU rRNA". It matches the Rfam family "Bacterial small subunit ribosomal RNA", at positions 365 to 832 of the family's 1533-position model. The record is from RNAcentral.